UGCGUAGGGGGCAAGCGUUGUCCGGAAUCAUUGGGCGUAAAGAGCGUGUAGGCGGCUCGAUAAGUCUGCUGUGAAAGUCCAGGGCUCAACCCUGGAAGGCCGGUGGAAACUGUCGGGCUAGAGUCCGGAAGAGGCGAGUGGAAUUCCCGGUGUAGCGGUGAAAUGCGCAGAUAUCGGGAGGAACACCAAUGGCGAAGGCAGCUCGCUGGGACGUGACUGACGCUGAGACGCGAAAGCGUGGGGAGCAAACAGG
RNAcentral lists this ribosomal RNA (253 nucleotides) under uncultured bacterium. RNAcentral's name for it is "partial 16S ribosomal RNA". It matches the Rfam family "Bacterial small subunit ribosomal RNA", at positions 524 to 776 of the family's 1533-position model. The record is from RNAcentral.